CUCCGGCCUUCUUACACAGCGAGGCCCAGCCCAGUUACCAUUCAGCUUUGUCCCUUUAUAUGCCCCCUCCCCUCCAAACCCUAAAUCCUCAGCCCUCACUCGUCUCCAGCCGUAAUCCCCCCCUCCAUGCGAAAUCACACCAGCCAUUAGCCAUCUGACCUCGAAUCCCCCAUGGUUCUUCGAUCCAUCUCCUUCUCCCUGCAUUUCUCAGCUUCUUCUCUUUCUGCUUCAAUGCCUUCUUCGCUUUCCUUCCUUUGGUGUUGCUGGGUCUUCAUUUGUAAAAGAGGACUAGGGUUUCGCCGCGCCAGCAGAGUUGGCAGAUGACGACAAGCAAGACAGGGACUCUGCAGCGCCCCCGAUUUCAUAUCGCGGGUCGCGAAUGAUGCAUCCGUCUAUGGGAAAUCUCCGAUGCUAUCCGCGCCAUCUUUGUUUCUGCAUAAGUUGGGUGGAGUGUUUCGCCUCGUGAACAGAAAAAAUCAGCAUAAUUUUUUUUAGCAUAUGACGAUAAGCAAGACAGGGACUCUGCAGCGCUCCUGAUUUCAAAUCGGGGGCGCGGAUGAUGCAUCCGUCUAGGGGAAUCUCCGAUGCUAUUUUCACUUCACUUGCUUGUUCUUGCAUUUUUGGUUUGCCCUUUUGUUGUUUUGAUUUAGCUGCCUGUAGCAGCGUUCAAUACAGUAUGACCAUUUCACAAUGAAUUCCUUUUAACUUGGCACCUCGUUGUUGCACUGAACUGCCAGCCUGAUGAUUAUCCUUGAGAACGGAGAUCUGAAUCCAUUUCUCCGUUGAAGCCCGCUUGGUCGCCGUGCUUGACCUGUCAUGGCGUUUGUUUCUUGGCUGGGUUUCUCUCAGGAGUAAAUUGCAAAACCCCCAACAUGCAAGAUGCAUGCAUGCAUGCAUCUCGCGCACACACACACACAUACAUACGCACGAAGCAGGCUGAAUGGGCUCCGGGAAUGGAUGUGUAGAAGCAAAAGUUAUGAAGGCUUUGGCAGAUCGGGUGAAUGCCCCCACUAGAUUCAUGGUAUACUUGUUUAAGUAGUGUUUGGUAUCAGUUUGAGGCUGCCCACCUUUAAUGCCUGGUGGUUUGCUGUAGACAUCAUCAUGCGAAUAUUUAUUUGGAUCUGAACAUAACUUAUGUGUGAAUUGUAGUGCUUAUGUUUGGACAUCGCAAGAUUAGAAGAAACCAGAACCAAGGCCUGAGUGCUUAAGGAGUAUUUGUAUAUCAAAUAUGGAACCUCUGGCUAGCCUGAUGAUUACAUUACCUUUGGAUAAAGAAUAAAGUUCUGAGAUCUCAUCUCCGUUGAAGCUUGCCUAGCUUAGGCUGCUGUGGUGGAUCCUACUCCCUCCUUCCAUAAAUAAUGUAGCAAUUUACUCUUAGGAGUAAAUUGGAACAUACAUGCACAACACACACAUAUGUAUAUAUAUAUAUAUAUAUAUAUAUAUAUAUAUAUAUAUAUAUAUAUAUAUAUGUAUCUCUGAUCUUCCACCAACUUGGCUGGCUGGGCUCCGGUGAGUGUAUGAAGCCACAAAAAGUAUGAAGGCUUUGCAAAUCAAUAGUUCUUGGUUCUGUAAAAUUAUUCUAGUUGAGUUGUUUGGACUCUGCAUUAGCUAAUCUCAAAUGCACAGCUUCUUUUAAAUUGUUGCUUUUUCCUUGUUUCAUAUUGAUGUUUGCAGUUAGAUAUAUUGUCUUUGACAUUGGAGCAUUAUGAUCUAGCUGCCUGUUAAUUUAAAUGCACUUCCCUGUUGAAGCCUGCUUGGCCACUCUGGUGCAUUGGCAAUACCAAGGUUUUAUAGGAAUUGAGAUGCAUGUCAUCUCACUUCACAUGAUUUUCCUAAACUAUGAACCAAAGGAGGCCUUAAAUUCCUUUGACCCAGCUGGCUGAUCAAAAGAAUGCUCUCCAUGUGUUUAUAUAGCGUUUUCCAACUCUGAUUGCUUAACUGCCAUUUGGCUGUACUUUUGGAGGGUCAGUAGGGUGUUUCUGCAGUGCCCUGAAGUUUCUAUUCUUGUGAUCUUUUCUGCCAACUGAAUAUUGUUGCUCUCAUUGGUAUGUGCACCUUGAGAUUAUCUUGUAUAUGUCUCAGAGGUGGUUGCUGGUUUCUUGUGUUAAUUUCUUCUGUAGUACUUCCUUCUGCCUGCAUUUUUCAUUGACUACAGUUUAAGCAUUUUGGAAUGGAAAAUGCUUAGUCUUGAGGCAUUUUGUUGUUGAGGUAUGUGGUUGACCGAACUGCCAGCCUGGUGAUUAGCCUAAGAACUGAAGAAUGAAGAUCUGAAUCUAAUUCUCCAUCGAAGCCUGCUUGGCCGCUGUGCUUGUUGCCUUUCUUUCUUGGCGGGGUUUCUAUGGGAAUCUCUGAUGCUAUUCUCACUUAACUCCUGCACCAUCUUUGCUUUGUUUCUGCAUCAAUUGGGUGGAGUGUUUCGCCUUGUGAACAAAAAAAUUAGCAUAUGAUGAUAAGCAAGACAGGGACUCUGCAGCGGCUCCGGCUCAGAUCAGGGCCGCGAAUGAUGCAUUCGUCUAGGGGAAUCUCUGAUGCUAAUCUAAAUUCACAGAAUCUUCAGUCUUUGCCUGAAUGGACAUGAAUACCACUGGUGUUUGCUAUUUGUAGCUGUUUUUGUAUGGAUUUUAAUCUGACGUUUGCUAAAUUUGUGUUGCAACAAAUCCGGUACAAACAUAAUUAGCAAAUGACGGUAAGCAAGACAGGGACUCUGCAGUGCUCCCGAUUUCAGAUUGGGGCCGCGAAUGAUGCAUCCGUCUAGGGGAAUCUCUGAUGCUAAUUUCCUUUUAGCUUUUUUCUCCUUGCAUUUUUUAUCUUGAUUUAGGUGCUAUUAACUGUGGUAAAUACAGUGUGAGCAUUUUCACAAUGAAUUCUUUUAGCCGUAGGCACUUCCUUGUUCAGAUAAGUGGGGUGCACUGAACUGCCAGCCUGAUGAUUAUCCUCGAGAAUGGAGAUCUGAAUCCACUUCUCCGUGGAAGCCCGCUUGGCCGCUGUGCUUGUUGAAUAUCCUGGUUUCUUGGCUGGGUUCCUCCAGGAGUAAAAUGCAAAACCCCCAAAGUGCACCCAUCCAUUGAUGCAUCUCUCUCACACACACACACAUGUACGCAUGAAGCAGGCCAAAUGGGCUCCGGGAGUGGAUGUGUAGAAGCAAAAGUUAUGAAGGCUUUGGCAGAUCAGAUGAAUGUCCCCACUAGAUUCAUGGUAUGCUUGGAGAAGUACUAGAUGUUAGUUUGAGGCUGCCCACCUUCAAUGGUUUAAUGCCCUGGUGUUUUGCUGUAGAAAUCAUCGUGCCAAUAUUUGUUGGGUUCUGAACAUAACUUACCUUCAAUGGUUUAAUGCCCUGGUGUUUUGCUGUAGAAAUCAUUAUGGCAAUAUUUGUUGGGUUCUGAACAUAACUUGUGUGUGAAUUGUAGUACUUAUGUUUGGGCAUAGCAAGAUUAGCAGAUAUGGGAAUCAAGGCCAGAAUAUGUAAUAGUGUCUGUUUAUCAAAUAUGGAACCUUGUGUGCUUGGCCAGCCUGAUGAUUACACCUGUUCAUAAAGAAUGAAGUUCUAAGGUCUGAAUGCUCUUCUCAGUUCCGUUGAAGCUCGCCUAGCUUAGGUUGCUGUGGUGGAUCCUACUCCCUCCUUCCCAAAAUAAUGUACUCCCUCCGUCCACAAAUAUAAGAUGUUCUAACUUUUUGCUGAAUUGGAACAUGCAUGCACACAUGCAUAUAUAUAUAUAUAUUAUCUUCCACCAACCUGGCUAGCUGGGCUCCGAUGAGAGUGCUUGGAGACACAAAAAGUAUGAAGGCUUGCUAAUGCAUAGAAUUCUUGGUUUUGUAUUAUUCUUGGCUUUGCUAAUACAUAGAAUUCUUGCACAACUUCUUUGAAAUAGUUGCUUUUUUCUCGUUUCACGUUGAUGUUUGCAUAUAUCUAUUGGCUUUGUCAUUGGAGCAUUCCGAUCUAGCUGCCUAUGAUUACCAUAGUGUGCAUUGUACUAAGAAUGGAGAUCUAAAUGCACUUCCUUGUUGAAGCCUGCUUGACCACUCUGGUACAUUGACAAUUCCAGGUUUUUGUAGGGUUCUGCUAGAGAUGCUCUUAACCUGCUGUUGCUGUUGCUGCUACCUCCAGCACUGGUGUUACUUUGGACGUCUAGGGGGGAGUGGGGGUGGGCGGUCCGGCUGGAGAUGCUCUUAAUUUCCUUUGACUGAGCUGGCUAAGUGGACUCCAGUUAAUAUAUUUGCUUUGUCCUUUGAGCAUUCUGGUCUAGCUGCCUGAUGAUUACCACUAAGAAUGGAGAUCUGAAUGCACUUCCCUGUUGAAGCUCGCUUGGCCGCUUUGGUGGAUUGGCAAUUCCAAGGGGUUUUUGGGGUCCGUUGGAGUUGCUCUUAACCUGCUGCUGCUGCUGCUGCUGCUUCUUCUACUACUACUAUACUACUACCAUCACUUCAGUUCCUUGCAUGCUUGGAACUACUCAACCCUCCUAAACUCUUAAUUGCCUUUGACCGAGCUGGUUAAGUGGACUCCAGGGAAUAAGUAUGUUGAUGCAAGAAGUACGAAUGAAGGCUUGGCUGAUCAAAAGAGUGCUCCUGUAUGUUUUUAUAGCGUUUUGCAACUCUGUUUGCUUAAUUGGUCAUUAGGGUGUUUUUGGAUUAGGGUGUUUCUGCAAAGCUCUAUUAUUCCGAUCUUUCUGGCAACUGAAUGUUGUUCCUUUUUCUGUUUGGUAUUGUCUUUUUUGGUUUGUGCACCUUGAAAUUUCCUUGUACCUCAGACAUAUUUGCUGAUUUCGUGUGUGUUUCCUCCGCCUGGUCUUAGUCUGAGGCACUUGUUGUUGGGUGUUGUUGGGUGGGGGUUGUCAAAUGAAUUGCGAACCUGAUGAUUAGCCUAAAAAUGGAGAUGUGAAUCCAUGUCUCUGUCGCUUCGCCUCGUGCUUGGUUCAUCCCAUCCUUUGUUUCUUGCCUGGGUUUCUCAGUAGUAAAUUGCAAAAACCCCAACAUGCAUGCAUGCACACAUGUACGCACAAAAAGUUUUGGCAGAUCGUUCAAUGCCCCCACUAGAUUCAUGUUAUGCUUGUUUAAGGAGCAUUUUAGCUUAGUUUGUGGCUGCCUGCUUUGCUUCCAUGGUUUAUUGCUUGAUGUCUUGCUGUAGAAAUCAUCAUGGAGAUAUUUGUUGGGUUCUGAACAGUUGCUGCCCUCCUUGCAUGCUUUAGUGCCUGUAUUUUGCUGUGGUUAUCAUGGAAAGAUUUGUUUGGAUCUGAAUUUUAUGUUUGGGUUUGUCCUUGGCCAGCCUUAUGAUUACCUAUGCAUAAAGAAUGGAGAUCUGAGUGCCUUUCGAAGCACACCUAGCUCAUGCUGCUGUGGUGGAUCCUACCCCCUCCAUUCCUAAAUAAUGUAGCAGAUUGGAUAUGCACAAAGCAAAUGGGCUCUGAGAAUGUGUGUGUAGAAUGGGCUAAAUGGCCAGCCUGAUAAAGGCCAGAAUACCUAGGCUUUCUCAGCUCCUUUGUACCUCAGCGGAGCUUAGGCUGCCGUGGUGGAUCCUACUCCCUCCAUUCCUAAAUAAUGUAGCAACUUGCUUUCAGGGAGUAAUUUGGAACGUGUAUGCACACACUCUCUCUAUAUAUAUCAGGGGGCGGGGGUCAGUAAACUGCCAGCCUGACGAUUAACCUAAGAAUGGAGAUCUGAAUCCAUUUCUCCUGUUGAAGCCUGCUUGGCUUUGAUUCAUCCCAUCCAUUGUUUCUUCGCUGGGUUUCUCUCAGGAGUAAGUUGAAACCCCAACAUGCACACAUAUACGUACAAGGCAGGCUAAAUGGGCUCCGGGAAUGGAUGCGUAGACUGUAGAAGCAAAUGUUAUGAAGGCUUUGCAGAUCGAUUAAUGCCCCCACUAGAUUUGUUUAGCAUCAUGGAAAUAUUUGUUGGUUUCUGUAGUCGCUGCAAACUCUUCUCACAGUUAAGACAUAACUUCUGUGUGUAUUAAAAGUACUUUCCUUUGGACAUUAGCAGGAUUAGCAGAUACGAGAAUCAAGUUAAUAAUAUCUGUAUAGUACUGUGUUUGUGUAUCUAAUAAGGUUAGUCAUAGUGGGGAGUAACUUGCUGUUAUGCAUAUGACACUAGUUUAUGUUACUGCCUUCAUAGACUAUGGGUAGUAUCAUGCAAGCCUUUAUUUGUUUAGAUGACUCAUUUUGCCUUUGGGUGUGUUAUGUUAUGGUGACAUAUUAUGUUACCACAAACACCUCUCAUUAACUACUUGCCACAUAAGCAAACUUGUCUUGGGGAGCGUUAUGUUACUAUCUUAGUUAGUCCCACUAUGGCCAGCCCAAGGAACAAUAUGUGCAUGGCCAGCCUGGUGAUUAACCUUUGCACAAAAAAUUAAGGCUGCUCCGUUGAAGCUUAGCUUGGCUUUGCCUGCUGUGGUGGAUCCUACUUCCAAGCAUUUUUCUCUUAGGAAUAAAUUGGAUCAUGCAACUCAGAUCAGACAUGUACAUACAUCUCAGAUCAGACAUCUCAGAUCAGACACCAGCCUUGUACAUACAUAUAUUGAUAUGUACAUACAUCUCAGAUCAGACACCAGCCUUGUUAGGCGGGCUCUGGUAAAUGCACAGAAUGCCCAGGUCCGUGACAAUCCUAGUUGAUGAAGUUGUUUGGACUAUCAACUUAUCUCAAACACACAACUUGGAAAUAGUUGCUAUGUUCUCGUUUUAUGUUGAGAUUUGCAGUUGAAAAUAUUGGCUUUGUCAUUCGAGCAUUCUGAUCUAGCUGCCUGAUGAUUUCCAUUGUGUGCACUAAGAAUGCCAAGCCUGUGGAAGUCUGCUUGGCCACUCUGGUGGAUUGGCUCUACUAUUAGCUUGCUCUGCCUGCUGCUGGGUAACUACUACCCUUUUUAUCCAUUUCGAUGACAAGUAUUUCGUGACGGAGGGAGUACAUUGUACCACUACUGCCACUCACCACCAACACCAUCGGCUCUUAUAUUUCUUUACGGAGGGAGUACUUCUCAAAUCUUUCUGAACUCUUCUGCCGAGCUGGCUAAGUGGACUCCAGGGAAGAAAUAUGCUGAAGCAAGAAGUAUGAAGGCUUGCAGAUUGAAAGAAUGCUCCAACUUGCCAUCCGCCAAUGCUUUAACAUUUUUUUGCAACUCUGCUGCUGAAUGGUCAUUGGUCUUUCUGCUAUGUUGAUUUACUCCCUAUUGUAUUUCUAUGUGUUGUUUUGGCAAAAUUGAUUGCUGGAUGUUCAUUGGUCCUUUUGGGGCGUGAUUUAUGUUUUUUUUUGGUUAUCUUCUUGAGCAAGCGAAUAUUGGUGCUCUUGCAGUUGUCACUGUCGUGUUUUUUGCCUGUGUUGCUGUGUGUGCUCGAUGAGAUAUCCUUUUGUACCUCUACCAAACAUUGUUGCUGACUACUUAUGUUAAUUCAUUGUGUUUUUAAAGUGUGUAUUUUUCAGGCAUUAGAUGGUUCGCCAUAUGGGACGAGGGUGGUCUGAAAGCAAAUAACAAUGUGAAGUUGUUGUGUCGUGGUAUAAAAACCAGAGAAUUUUACUCCAGUAAAUUUUUAGGCUGGUUUUGUAUUUGAUUCUUUGUAAAUGUGAUGUACAGUCUUGGCUUAUAAUGUACUUUGGUUUUAAAUACAUACUAUGGAUUUAGAUACAUA
This is a long non-coding RNA of Triticum aestivum (bread wheat), 7610 nucleotides long. RefSeq lists it as uncharacterized. The record is from RefSeq and is a predicted model, not a curated record. NCBI's taxonomy places the organism in Eukaryota, Viridiplantae, Streptophyta, Magnoliopsida, Poales, Poaceae. The transcript is spliced from 2 exons.